This 482-nucleotide ribosomal RNA is filed under the name uncultured bacterium. RNAcentral's name for it is "partial 16S ribosomal RNA". It matches the Rfam family "Bacterial small subunit ribosomal RNA", at positions 30 to 507 of the family's 1533-position model. The record is from RNAcentral.
AUUGAACGCUGGCGGCAUGCUUUACACAUGCAAGUCGAACGGUAACAGGCCGCAAGGUGCUGACGAGUGACGAACGGGUGAGUAAUGCAUCGGAACGUGCCCAGUCGUGGGGGAUAACUACUCGAAAGAGUAGCUAAUACCGCAUACGAUCUAUGGAUGAAAGCGGGGGACCGUAAGGCCUCGCGCGAUUGGAGCGGCCGAUGUCAGAUUAGGUAGUUGGUGGGGUAAAGGCUCACCAAGCCAACGAUCUGUAGCUGGUCUGAGAGGACGACCAGCCACACUGGGACUGAGACACGGCCCAGACUCCUACGGGAGGCAGCAGCGGGGAAUUUUGGACAAUGGGCGCAAGCCUGAUCCAGCAAUGCCGCGUGCAGGAAGAAGGCCUUCGGGUUGUAAACUGCUUUUGUACGGAACGAAACGGCUCUGGUUAAUACCCGGGGCUAAUGACGGUACCGUAAGAAUAAGCACCGGCUAACUACGUG